This is a microRNA precursor of Chlorocebus sabaeus (green monkey), 76 nucleotides long. Lineage: Eukaryota; Metazoa; Chordata; Mammalia; Primates; Cercopithecidae. The record is from Ensembl.
GACCAACCCUCCUGGGUUGCCUGGGACUGAGAGGGUCCUGGGAUGUGGGACUUGCAGUGUUAAAACUGAGACAGUU